Molecule: ribosomal RNA, 468 nt
Filed under: uncultured bacterium
Lineage: Bacteria
Description: partial 16S ribosomal RNA
Rfam family: Bacterial small subunit ribosomal RNA
Source: RNAcentral
GACGAACGCUGGCGGCGUGCUUAACACAUGCAAGUCGAACGGAAAGGCCCUGCUUUUGUGGGGUGCUCGAGUGGCGAACGGGUGCGUAACACGUGAGUAACCUGCCCUUCACUUUGGGAUAACUUCAGGAAACUGGGGCUAAUACCGGAUAGGAGCUGCCGCUGCGUGGUGGGGGGGGGAAAUUUUCGGCGGUCGGGGUUGGACUGGCGGAUUAUGAGUUUGUUGGUGGGGUAGUGGCUGACCCAGGCUGUGACGGGUAGGCGGCCUGAGAGGGUGACCGGGCACAUUGGGACUGAGAUACGGCCCAGACUCCUACGGGAGGCAGCAGUGGGGAAUAUGGCACAAUGGGCGGAAGCCUGAGGCAGCAACGCCGCGUGCGUGAUGACGGCCUGCGGGUUGUAAACCGCUUUCGCCUGUGACGAAGCGGGAGUGACGGUAACGGGUAAAGAAGCACCGGCUAACUACGUG